GUGGGGAAUCUUCCGCAAUGGACGAAAGUCUGACGGAGCAACGCCGCGUGAGGGAAGACGGCCUUCGGGUUGUAAACCUCUUUUGUACGGGAAGAAGGAAGUGACGGUACUGUACGAAUAAGUCCCGGCUAACUACGUGCCAGCAGCCGCGGUAAUACGUAGGGGACGAGCGUUGUCCGGAAUUACUGGGCGUAAAGGGCGCGCAGGCUGUGCUGCAAGUCAGCUGUGAAAUGUCUGGGCUUAACCCGGGCAUGCGGUUGAGACUGCAGUGCUGGAGUGCUGUAGAGGCAAGUGGAAUUCCCAGUGUAGCGGUGAAAUGCGUAGAUAUUGGGAAGAACACCGGUGGCGAAGGCGACUUGCUGGGCAGCAACUGACGCUGAGGCGCGAAAGCCAGGGGAGCAAACGGGAUUAGAUACCCGUGUAGUCC
Molecule: ribosomal RNA, 427 nt
Filed under: uncultured bacterium
Lineage: Bacteria
Description: partial 16S ribosomal RNA
Rfam family: Bacterial small subunit ribosomal RNA
Source: RNAcentral